Molecule: ribosomal RNA, 248 nt
Filed under: uncultured bacterium
Lineage: Bacteria
Description: partial 16S ribosomal RNA
Rfam family: Bacterial small subunit ribosomal RNA
Source: RNAcentral
UGGGUAACCUGCCUCAAAGAGGGGAAUAGCCUCCCGAAAAGGGAGAUUAAUACCGCAUAAUAUGUUUUAGUCGCAUGACUUAAACAUCAAAAGGAUUUUUCUUUUAAGAAAAUUCCACUUUGAGAUGGACCCCGCGGCGCAUUAGCUAGUUGGUGAGGUAACGGCUCACCAAGGCAACGAUGCGUAGCCGACCUGAGAGGGUNAUCGGCCACAUUGGAACUGAGACACGGUCCAGACUCCGUAGGAGG